CUACAGAUUCUGCAAAAUAGGGACCGAAAUUUCUGACCUCUUGUUGCUUAACUACUUAUAACUUUCUGUUGUGAACUCAGAUUCAUACAAAGUAUGUUUUAUUCGAAGCUUGACUCAAAAUGCUUUCUGUAUAUACCUGAUUUGAAAUUUUUGGAGUACAAUUGCUAACUGAAACACCUGCUUUCAUCGACCCUAUGGAUUCAGUAAAACAGAGCUAAUAUUUUCAGACCUUUCACUGCGAAAUUAUCUGUAACUCCCGGUUGUAAAUUCCAAAUCUUGUAAAACUUGAUUUGCAUAAAACUAGAUUGACAAAGCUUUCUAAUGACACCUAUUUUGUAUAAAUUGGAGCAUAAUUGGUUAUCCAAAUAGUUCAAACAAUGUUCCUAUCAAAUUCUGCC
This 398-nucleotide long non-coding RNA is filed under the name Musa acuminata (dwarf banana). RNAcentral's name for it is "long non-coding RNA (MACU_LNC007244)". The record is from RNAcentral. Lineage: Eukaryota; Viridiplantae; Streptophyta; Magnoliopsida; Zingiberales; Musaceae.